Molecule: ribosomal RNA, 375 nt
Filed under: uncultured eukaryote
Lineage: Eukaryota
Description: partial 18S ribosomal RNA
Rfam family: Eukaryotic small subunit ribosomal RNA
Source: RNAcentral
CAAUAGCGUAUAUUUAAGUUGUUGCAGUUAAAAAGCUCGUAGUUGGAUUUCGGUUAAGAGCGACCGGUCCGCCGUUUGGUGUGCACUGGUUGGUUUUAACUUCCUGUAGAGGACGUGCUCUGGGUUUAACGACCUGGACUCGGAGUCUACGUGGUUACUUUGAAAAAAUUAGAGUGUUCAAAGCGGGCUUACGCUUGAAUAUUUCAGCAUGGAAUAACACUAUAGGACUCCUGUCCUAUUUCGUUGGUCUCGGGACGGGAGUAAUGAUUAAGAGGAACAGUUGGGGGCAUUCGUAUUGCAUUGUCAGAGGUGAAAUUCUUGGAUUUAUGAAAGACGAACUUCUGCGAAAGCAUUUGCCAAGGAUGUUUUCAUUAA